AUGAAUAUGGAAGUCUCCUGUCAGGCUAGGUACCUCCCCCGGGGUCCAUCUUGGAUUGUUGGAAACACUGAGUCACUGGGAUGUGGAAGUGCGGCAAACUCAAGCAAAGCCUCAGCGGCCUUGUGGAGCGAAGGCUUAGCAACUUUGUUUCCUUUUCGAUUGGAGCCCCCAGCACUACUGGAUCAUCUCCUUCAACAAUGUCCUGGGAAAGCUUGCUUGCCUCUUCUGCAGAUAACUCCCAUUACUGAGUUUGGAGGUGAGAAUAAAAGGUGAGCCUGGAACAGUCUGAAGCCUAGAAUGUAGAACUCAGCCUGAGCCUUCUUUGUGGGUUGCAAGAAUCCAAGUAUUUGAGUCAUCAAGUACUGCCUCUCAAAGUACACAUAUAAAGAGUCAGGAUUUUCUGCUUGGCUGAUGGCAGGCACCUGCUCUUUGUCUUGAUUGCCUUUGUAAGGCAGAAGAUGAUGGCACAAAAACCUGGGUUCCUGCCACUCAUUUCAGACACCCAGAUGGAGUUCCUGGUUCUUAGGUUUGUCUUGACACAGCCCUGACUGCUGCAGGCAUGUUGGUAGUAGACCAGCAGAUGCAAGAUCUUUCUCUCCCUCUGUCUCUCUCACUCUG
Oryctolagus cuniculus (rabbit) is the source of this 618-nucleotide non-coding RNA. NCBI's taxonomy places the organism in Eukaryota, Metazoa, Chordata, Mammalia, Lagomorpha, Leporidae. The record is from RefSeq and is a predicted model, not a curated record.